UGGAACGAUACAGAGAAGAUUAGC
This 24-nucleotide non-coding RNA is filed under the name Drosophila melanogaster (fruit fly). The record is from RNAcentral. Lineage: Eukaryota; Metazoa; Arthropoda; Insecta; Diptera; Drosophilidae. RNAcentral also lists the same sequence under 6 other names.